UAGAGUUUGAUCCUGGCUCAGGAUGAACGCUGGCGGCGUGCCUAACACAUGCAAGUCGAACGGUCCUUUCGGGGGCAGUGGCGCACGGGUGAGGAACACGUAGCUGACCUGCCUUGGAGAGCGGGAUAACGGGUCGAAAGACCUGCUAAUACCGCAUAAGCUCACGGGGUUUAGAAAGCUGUGAGAAAAGGGGCAACCCGCUUCAAGAGGGGGCUGCGACCCAUCAGGUAGAUGGCGAGGUAACGGCUCACCAUGCCGACGACGGGUAACGGGUCUGAGAGGAUGAUCCGUCACACUGGGACUGAGACACGGCCCAGACUCCUACGGGAGGCAGCAGUGAGGAAUAUUGCACAAUGGGGGAAACCCUGAUGCAGCGACGCCGCGUGGGUGAAGAAGGUCUUCGGAUCGUAAAACCCUUUUCUGCGUGACGAGAGAGGACGGUAGCGCAGGAAUAAGCCUCGGCUAACUACGUGCCAGCAGCCCCGGUCAA
Molecule: ribosomal RNA, 490 nt
Filed under: uncultured bacterium
Lineage: Bacteria
Description: bacterial SSU rRNA
Rfam family: Bacterial small subunit ribosomal RNA
Source: RNAcentral